Vespa velutina is the source of this 593-nucleotide long non-coding RNA. RefSeq lists it as uncharacterized. The transcript is spliced from 3 exons. The record is from RefSeq and is a predicted model, not a curated record. Lineage: Eukaryota; Metazoa; Arthropoda; Insecta; Hymenoptera; Vespidae.
GUACCUUCUAUAGGAACGCGGCAUUCCUCUUUUAAUUGCAUGAAGCAGCGUGCGAUAUUAAGAACGUCUAAUUAGAGAUGGCGCAACAUUCAUUAACGAGCUCUUGCAUAGGUCUUCCAGCCCUAGGAACUGUCUUAUCUUGGCGAAUAAGCUUCCAAUGAGGUUACAAAUACGAUUCGGUAUCAUGCGCUACGUACUUUUUACGAACAAACUAUAAGCCAGGAAGAUUACUUGACAUCUACCGUGAAUGCUAUUCAUGAUACAUCAGGCAGGAGGUAUUAUAUGUAUCUUCGAAUAAAAUGCAGCGGCGUUAUAUUGAACAAUAGAUGUCUCUUCGAACGUGAAAAAUCCCGAUGAAAACAAUUUUUGAAUUUAAUUAAGUGCCAGUUUUACAUCAGAUAUGAAGCUUCUUGACAUGCUUCUACAGUAACCCAACGUUCCGUCUAUUCGAAAAUUAUAUUCUAAAUAAGAAUUUUCUAUAAAUCGACGUUAUUUCCAUCUAUUUUAUAUCAGAGAUAAUUUCUUGUAAUUUAAAUAAAGAAUUUAUCGAAUCAUCUAUCACAAAGUUAUUUUAUUAAUAUUACAUUUUGAAA